Molecule: ribosomal RNA, 428 nt
Filed under: uncultured archaeon
Lineage: Archaea
Description: bacterial SSU rRNA
Rfam family: Archaeal small subunit ribosomal RNA
Source: RNAcentral
UACCUGCAGCUCGAGUGGUAGCCGCUAUUAUUGGGCCUAAAGCGUCCGUAGCCGGUUUGGUAAAUUAUCUGGGUAAAUCGUGAGGCUUAACUUCACGAAUUUCGGAUAGACUGCCAGACUUGGGAUCGGGGGAGGUCAGAGGUACUCCAGGGGUAGCGGUGAAAUGUUGUAAUCCUUGGAGGACCACCGGUAGCGAAGGCGUCUGACUAGAACGAGUCCGACGGUGAGGGACGAAGCCCUGGGGCGCAAACCGGAUUAGAUACCCGGGUAGUCCAGGGUGUAAACGAUGUGGGCUUUGUAUUGGAGGUCCACGUGGCGUCCAGUGCAGAAGAGAAGUUGUUAAGCCCACCGCCUGGGAAGUACGGUCGCAAGGCUGAAACUUAAAGGAAUUGGCGGGGGAGCACAGCAACGGGAGGAGCGUGCGGUUU